AUGUGCCUGAAUAGUGGCUCCCUUUUGAACCAUAAUAUCAUGGGAGCUUCUCGGUUCUUUUUAGUACAUCAGGCAUAUUACAGCUAUAGUAUUCUGUCUUUUAAAAUGUGGUUCACUAAAUCUUGUACGUGGCUGUUUGUAAUUUUGCUUGCAUUGUCGUGUCAUGUAUUUAAUGGUUCGAUGAGAGGUUUAGGUCUGAGGACAGCCCUGCUUUACUGUCCAACAUUCAUGAUAAACCAGCCAUUUUUUGCUGUCUGGCAAGUGGAUUUUCGCUUGAGGUCUUUUUUACUUAAUAUAAGACGUUUUUUGACACUGUCAUAG
RNAcentral lists this ribosomal RNA (321 nucleotides) under Triticum aestivum (bread wheat). RNAcentral's name for it is "partial small subunit ribosomal RNA". The record is from RNAcentral. Lineage: Eukaryota; Viridiplantae; Streptophyta; Magnoliopsida; Poales; Poaceae.